RNAcentral lists this ribosomal RNA (460 nucleotides) under uncultured bacterium. RNAcentral describes it as "partial 16S ribosomal RNA". It matches the Rfam family "Bacterial small subunit ribosomal RNA", at positions 338 to 795 of the family's 1533-position model. The record is from RNAcentral.
CCUACGGGAGGCAGCAGUGAGGAAUAUUGGUCAAUGGACGCAAGUCUGAACCAGCCAUGCCGCGUGCAGGAAGACGGCUCUAUGAGUUGUAAACUGCUUUUGUACGAGGGUAAACGCAGAUACGCGUAUCUGUCUGAAAGUAUCGUACGAAUACGGAUCGGCUAACUCCGUGCCAGCCGCCGCGGUAAUACGGAGGAUUCAAGCGUUAUCCGGAUUUAUUGGGUUUAAAGGGUGCGUAGGCGGUCGGAUAAGUUAGAGGUGAAAUCCCGAGGCUCAACUUCGGAAUUGCCUCUGAUACUGUUCGGCUAGAGAGUAGUUGCGGUAGGCGGAAUGUAUGGUGUAGCGGUGAAAUGCUUAGAGAGCAUACAGAACACCGAUUGCGAAGGCAGCUUACCAAGCUACUUCUGACGUUGAGGCACGAAAGCGUGGGGAGCAAACAGGAUUAGAGACCCUAGUAGUC